RNAcentral lists this ribosomal RNA (254 nucleotides) under uncultured bacterium. Its description in RNAcentral is "partial 16S ribosomal RNA". It matches the Rfam family "Bacterial small subunit ribosomal RNA", at positions 524 to 776 of the family's 1533-position model. The record is from RNAcentral.
CACGUAGGGGGCGAGCGUUGUCCGGAUUUAUUGGGCGUAAAGAGCUCGUAGGCGGCUCGGUAAGUCGGGUGUGAAAACUCGGGGCUCAACCCCGAGACGCCACUCGAUACUGCCAUGGCUAGAGUCCGGUAGGGGAGCGUGGAAUUCCUGGUGUAGCGGUGAAAUGCGUAGAUAUCGGGAGGAACACCAGUGGCGAAGGCGACUACCUGGCCCACUCUUGACGCUGAGGCGCGAAAGCUAGGGGAGCGAACGGG